GCAAAACAGAUGUGUGUGGGUAGGAAGGCUGUGAGAACAGAGGAUAGCUCCAAGAAGAAAUGAAGUCAGCCCUCAGUAUAUGAUAUCCCCCGUGUAUCUUUCCAUCUAAUCUAGCCAGAACGUGCACAGAAUGGGAGCCUGGCUGUUUUCUGCAUCAGACAUUCACCAACCCUGCAUGCUGCUCUCCUGGCCAAUGCCUUGCUCAUCAGCUGCCUUCUAAGGAAGGGUCUCUGGUGUGCUGCUGGCACUGGGCAGCAGACACUUCUGACCAGGAUGUAUCCUCCCUUGUCAGCAAAGCUGUGGUUUCCUUCCCCAUAUGCUGCACAGAAUAACCAAGACCAGGACAUUCAUCUCCCAC
RNAcentral lists this long non-coding RNA (358 nucleotides) under Anas platyrhynchos platyrhynchos (common mallard). RNAcentral describes it as "lncRNA (ENSAPLG00000029934.1)". Lineage: Eukaryota; Metazoa; Chordata; Aves; Anseriformes; Anatidae. The record is from RNAcentral.